This 195-nucleotide microRNA precursor is filed under the name Oryza nivara. Its description in RNAcentral is "MIR812 microRNA precursor family". It matches the Rfam family "MIR812 microRNA precursor family". Lineage: Eukaryota; Viridiplantae; Streptophyta; Magnoliopsida; Poales; Poaceae. The record is from Rfam by way of RNAcentral.
AGGGAGUACAGUUUUAUACUGUUUUUGUCCAAAGUUUAACCACAUGUCUUAUUUGAAAAAUUUUUACGAUUAAUAUUGUUUUUGUUAUUAUAUGAUAAAAUAUGAAUAGUACUUUAUGUGCAACUAGUUUUUUUAAAUUUUUUUUAUAAAUUUUUUAAAUAAGACAAACAGUUAAACGUUGACGGAGUUAUUACA